CAUUUGGUGACCGUGAGGUCGUUGCGGCUCUUCCAGAGGUCAUGCUGGUGACAAAGGAGGUGUGCUUGUUAAACCCAUGGCAGUUGGAGGCGAUGGAGCAGCAGGUUGGCGUGCCGCUUGUGAAAGUGCGAAUUGGAGGUGUACGUCGGAAUCGCCCGGCCGACAUGCUUUCCUCGAUGAUGUUGCUUGUCGUUGGUUAGCUCAAAUGCUGGCCUAGAGCAUCUUCAACAGAUGGAGCAAUUAUUUAUUCAGUUUUACCGUUUGAUGUUUGUUUUCUAGAGACAUGAGCUAGAUUAUUGAUGUCGUGGACCUGGUGCGUUGUCUUUAUUUUAGGUUUAUAAGUUACAUGUAGAUAUGUUUUUUCUAUGUACUUUGGCAAGCCAGAUUUGCUCCUGUCAAGUUGUCGUGGUCCAUGAGUUGUAUUGAUACAGAAUUUUAAAUCCAAAUACAAGUUUUUGACAA
This is a long non-coding RNA of Lolium rigidum, 462 nucleotides long. RefSeq lists it as uncharacterized. Lineage: Eukaryota; Viridiplantae; Streptophyta; Magnoliopsida; Poales; Poaceae. The transcript is spliced from 2 exons. The record is from RefSeq and is a predicted model, not a curated record.